GUCCCUAUCGUCUAGAGGCCUAGGACCCUUUCACNCUAGGACAUCGCCCUUUCACGGCGGUAACCGGGGUUCGAAUCCCCGUAGGGACGCCA
Molecule: transfer RNA, 92 nt
Filed under: Acinetobacter baumannii
Lineage: Bacteria; Pseudomonadati; Pseudomonadota; Gammaproteobacteria; Moraxellales; Moraxellaceae
Description: tRNA-Glu
Rfam family: tRNA
About the family: Transfer RNA (tRNA) molecules are approximately 80 nucleotides in length. Their secondary structure includes four short double-helical elements and three loops (D, anti-codon, and T loops). Further hydrogen bonds mediate the characteristic L-shaped molecular structure. tRNAs have two regions of fundamental functional importance: the anti-codon, which is responsible for specific mRNA codon recognition, and the 3' end, to which the tRNAs corresponding amino acid is attached (by aminoacyl-tRNA synthetases). tRNAs cope with the degeneracy of the genetic code in two manners: having more than one tRNA (with a specific anti-codon) for a particular amino acid; and 'wobble' base-pairing, i.e. permitting non-standard base-pairing at the 3rd anti-codon position.
Source: RNAcentral